Molecule: long non-coding RNA, 600 nt
Filed under: Olea europaea (common olive)
Lineage: Eukaryota; Viridiplantae; Streptophyta; Magnoliopsida; Lamiales; Oleaceae
Description: long non-coding RNA (OEUR_LNC012966)
Source: RNAcentral
UAUCUACCAAAACUUAUAGAUGGUCUAUACACCAGGGAUCCAAUUCUCUUAAUUUUUGGCUGCUACUCCAUCUGUUGAAAAGGCUCAAACAUACUUUUUCAAAGGGUACAAGAUAGGAUUGAUACGAGGACCACCAGAAAACAUCCCAACUAGUAUAACAUGCAUAUAAGUUAAUUUCGAUAAAACCCAAGCAGUCUGCAUAAAAAUAAAAAAUUUAAGUUGGAUACCAGGGGAUCAUUAGGAUAGCUACUGCGAAAAAAGAACUUCAAAGAAAAAGAGACAAUCGUGGUAUGGUGUGUUGCGUCCUCUGCUUCUACUGUUAUAGCCUCACAAAUAUCGCACCUGUUGGUGCAAUAACAGAAAAUAAGAUGUAAGAAAUGAGCUCAACUCUCUAUCAUUGCCUGCAAAGCGACCAUAAGGCCAAUAGAUGUAAACAAAAUGUACGUAGAAUGGACUGAGGAGGUCCUGUAUUGACGGCUGCAAUUUCACAACACUUAAAGUCACCUCAUUUGAUGAAGAAAUUAUCGAAGAACUUACCAGAAAUCAUUUUCCUGUGUUUCCAUUCGUCAAGAGAAUCUUGGCGAAACCUUUUGAUGGCUG